AGCUCCCUCAGCCUCUCCUGGGGCUCCAGCCCCUGCCCAGCUCCCUCAGCCCCUCCUCACAUGACGUAUGCUACAGACCCUGUUGCAGAAAGGCCUUCUCCAACCUGAACAAUCCCUGAUUUCAGCAGGUGGCUACUCUCAGGCUUUGCUUUCAUUUGCCACAACUUUUGUUAUGACUUUGCUGGUGCCAGGGGUGGAUCCUAUUUCCCUCAAGAGACAGGAGUAGUUUAUACAACAUCCAUGUGCAGCAGAGACAAGGUGAGAGAAUGUUGCUUAUAUCACAGCUUGGAUUCUGGUUGCUUUCCCAGAGGAAGACCAAGAUAGAAUAUCUCUGCAUUCACUGUCAUGGGGAAGACUCAGUACUGCUGUGAGAGAAAGCAGGAGCAUCUGAAGGAGCAUCCCCCAAAUUCCCUCUCUGUGCCUGAUUUCCUGGCUGGUUUAGGGACAGAUAGUUUUUGCUAAUGUUACUUUGCAUUAUAAAGUUUCCUUUGCUUUGGAAAAUAUUAACUUUGCUCCAUAGACAGACAGGCCCUACAGUUAUAGCUGGAAUAUCCUAAAUAUUUAGUUCCCAGUAAUAAUAGGCUAAACUACAGCACCACUAGAGGCAAAACCUACAUUAUUUAAAAUGACACUUCUCACAAAUAUCCAGUUAUGAGGUAAUUUUAUAUCAGCUGCUCUUAUAUAAAUUGGAAAAGGCAAACUGUCCUAUCAUCAGCAUUAAGGUUGGCAAUAAAAAUUACUCUGUAUUCAUAGCAAAUUUGGAGAUCUCCCUUUCCAUUAGAUUUCCCAGGAAACAUUGUGGUUGCCACCCUGAAGAAUUUUGCUGGUAGCAGCACCAGUGCCAACUUUGAGCUUCAGCCUCCUCAUGUUCCUCCUAUCUCUGCUCUGCAGGGGAGGGAUGGACGGGCACCCACAGCAGCCAGAGAUGACACUGCUGCUCAGACUGCCUGCCAAAAGCUCCUUGAAACACUGUUGAAGUCAGAACCGUGUCAGGGUUUUCUAUUUUGUUUCCUUCCAGCCCCUCUCCAAAUGCUCAGAGCACAUUUGUUGCAGGUCUGCAGCAGGACCCAGGCCAGUUUUCCAACAUCCUGCUGCAUGUUGAACCCAGAAGGUUCUGAGAAUAGUGAGGGGCACACAUGGAUGUUGCUGGAGACUUUCAUGCCAGCCACACCCUGGUGGCAGAGGUUAAAAUUUGUCUGCAGUGACCAAUAAUGAAUAUGCUGAAAUACAUAACAGGAGAAAUCUAUAGUGAGCCACUGUUGGAGACAGGUGCAAGAACUAAUGACGAGAUGAAAGCAGUGUCAGCACAUUGGACUGGCCCCAGAAAAGGCCCUGUCUGGAGAUCCCAGGGCUGCCCCAGUCAGCAUUUCUGUCAGCAUUUCUGGAGGAGCCAGCACAUGGCAUCAGUCAUGCCCAUUUGCCACUUACUUCAACAGAAUUAAAUACUGCUCUCAGGUGAGCUAAGCACCUUGACUGAAGCUCAGUUCUGGAUACUAUGG
Non-coding RNA from Zonotrichia albicollis (white-throated sparrow), 1499 nucleotides. NCBI's taxonomy places the organism in Eukaryota, Metazoa, Chordata, Aves, Passeriformes, Passerellidae. The record is from RefSeq and is a predicted model, not a curated record.